UCAAGCUACAAAGAGCACAAGGGGAAUGCCUUGGCACCGAGAGCCGAAGAAGGACGUGACUAACUGCGAUAAGCUACGGGGAGCUGUAAGUGAGCGUUAUAUCCGUAGAUUUCCGAAUGGAGCAAUCCGAUUAGAGGAAAGUCUAAUCAUCAUAUACUGAAUACAUAGGUAUAUGAGGGGAACCGCCUGAACUGAAACAUCUAAGUAGGGCGAGGAAGAGAAAUCAACUGAGAUUCCGUAAGUAGUGGCGAGCGAACGCGGAAGAGGCCAAACCUAAUGUAGUAAUAUGUUAGGGGUUCGGACAGUAAAAUGAAUUGUCGAGAUUUAGCCGAAUGUCAUGGGAAGGGCAAUCAAAGAAGGUGAAAAUCCUGUAGGCGAAAAGUUAAGACAUCAGACUGUAUCCAGAGUACCGCCGGACACGUGAAACCCGGUGGGAAUACGGGGGGACCAUCCUCCAAGCCUAAAUACUACUCGGUGACCGAUAGAGAAGAAGUACUGUGAAGGAAAGGUGAAAAGCACCCCGGAAGGGGAGUGAAAGAGAACCUGAAACCUUGUGUUUACAAGCACCGAAAGUUCAUCAACGAACGAUCGGGUACCUUUUGUAGAAUGGUCCGGCGAGUGAAUGUAACUGGCAAGGUUAAGCACUUAAGGUGUGAAGCCGUAGCGAGAGCGAGUCUGAAAAGGGCGCAUGAAGUCAGUUGUAUUCGACCCGAAACCGGGUGACCUACCCAUGUCCAGGCUGAAGUGCAGGUAAAACUUCAUGGAGGGCCGAACCGACUCCCGUUGAAAUGGUAGCGGAUGAGGUGUGGGUAGCGGAGAAAUUCCAAUCGAACCCGGAGAUAGCUGGUUCUCUCCGAAAUAGCUUUAGGGCUAGCCUUGGAAUAGAUUACUGGAGGUAAAGCACUGAAUUGGCUAGGGGCCGAGAGGUUACUGAACCUUAUCAAACUAAGAAUGCCAGAUAAUCGUUUUCCAGGAGUCAGACAGUGGGAGAUAAGUUUCAUUGUCAAAAGGGAAACAGCCCAGACCUACAGCUAAGGUCCCAAAGUAUAGUUAAGUGGAAAAGGAUGUGGAAUUGCAUAGACAACCAGGAUGUUGGCUUAGAAGCAGCCACUCAUUAAAAGAGUGCGUAAUAGCUCACUGGUCGAGUGAUUCUGCGCCGAAAAUUUAACGGGGCUAAACUAUACACCGAAGCUUAGGAUACCGCAAGGUAUGGUAGGAGAGCGUUCUGUACGGAGUGAAGUCGUAGCGAAAGCGGCGGUGGACUGUACAGAAGUGAGAAUGCCGGAAUAAGUAGCGAGAAUUAAGUGAGAAUCUUAAUGGCCGAAAGUCUAAGGUUUUUGGAGGAAGGUUCGUCCGCUCCAAGUAAGUCGGGAGCUAAGGUCAGGCCGAAAGGCGUAGCCGAUGCACAAACGGUUGAUAUUCCGUUACCGUCUACAAUUUAAACAAAGGGACACAUACAAAGCGUUUAACCCGGGCGAUGGUUGACCCGGGCGCAAGGGACUGAAAUAAGAGUAGGGAAGUAAAUGUGGCGUAUGGCGAGAAAAGCUUUGUGUAUAGAAGUAGACGCCCGUACCGCAAACCGACACAGGUGGACAGGAAGAGAAUUCUAAGGCCAGCGGGAGAAGGGUAGUUAAGGAACUCGGCAAAUUGACUCCGUAACUUCGGAAUAAGGAGUGCUCGAAAGAGCCGCAGAGAAUAGGCCCAGGCGACUGUUUAGCAAAAACACAGGUCUCUGCCAAAUCGAAAGAUGAAGUAUAGGGGCUGACACCUGCCCGGUGCCGGAAGGUUAAGAGGAGGAGUGCAAGCUCCGAAUUGAAGCCCCGGUAAACGGCGGCCGUAACUAUAACGGUCCUAAGGUAGCGAAAUUCCUUGUCGGGUAAGUUCCG
Molecule: ribosomal RNA, 1886 nt
Filed under: human gut metagenome
Description: bacterial LSU rRNA
Rfam family: Bacterial large subunit ribosomal RNA
Source: RNAcentral